RNAcentral lists this ribosomal RNA (271 nucleotides) under uncultured prokaryote. Its description in RNAcentral is "partial 16S ribosomal RNA". It matches the Rfam family "Bacterial small subunit ribosomal RNA", at positions 524 to 794 of the family's 1533-position model. The record is from RNAcentral.
UACGGAGGAUCCGAGCGUUAUCCGGAUUUAUUGGGUUUAAAGGGUGCGCAGGCGGAAGAUUAAGUCGGCGGUGAAAUUUUGCAGCUCAACUGUAAAAGUGCCUUCGAUACUGGUUUCCUUGAGUGUGGAUGAAGUAGGCGGAAUUUGUGGUGUAGCGGUGAAAUGCUUAGAUAUCACGAGGAACUCCGAUUGCGCAGGCAGCUUACUAAACCACUACUGACGCUCAGGCACGAAGGCGUGGGGAUCAAACAGGAUUAGAUACCCGUGUAGU